GGGCCCGCACAAGCGGUGGAGUAUGUGGUUUAAUUCGACGCAACGCGCAGAACCUUACCCAACCUUAACUUCCCGAGAACGGAAAGGAGACUUUCCGGUGCCAGUAAUGGAACUCGGUGAUAGGUGCUGCAUGGCUGUCGUCAGCUCGUGUCGUGAGAUGUUCGGUUAAGUCCGGUAACGAGCGCAACCCCUAUUCUUAGUUGCCAGCAGUUCGGCUGGGCACUCUAUGGAAACUGCCCGUGAUAAGCGGGAGGAAGGUGUGGAUGACGUCAAGUCCUCAUGGCCCUUACGGGUUGGGCUACACACGUGCUACAAUGGCAUCUACAGUGGGUUAAUCCCCAAAAGAUGUCUCAGUUCGGAUUGUCGUCUGCAACUCGACGGCAUGAAGUCGGAAUCGCUAG
Molecule: ribosomal RNA, 401 nt
Filed under: uncultured bacterium
Lineage: Bacteria
Description: bacterial SSU rRNA
Rfam family: Bacterial small subunit ribosomal RNA
Source: RNAcentral